RNAcentral lists this unclassified non-coding RNA (240 nucleotides) under soil metagenome. Its description in RNAcentral is "partial contains 5.8S ribosomal RNA, internal transcribed spacer 2, and large subunit ribosomal RNA". The record is from RNAcentral.
AAGACUAUAGACCUGCGGAGUACCUGCGGAAGGAUCAUUACCGAGUGGCCCAAGUCCGCAAGGACCGGUUACCCGACCUCUUGUCAUUUGCUCUGGGGUCGCCUGCAAGGUUCGGCCCGCACUUCCUCCAUGUGGGGUUGGGUGGGUCGCGCCGAACUGGCGGCCUCAGCUUCGAUAACUUCGGCGGAAGUGGUAGGUUCGACCUGCCCGCCGCCGGCCGUAUUCAACCUGCAAGUAAUU